RNAcentral lists this long non-coding RNA (1198 nucleotides) under Pogona vitticeps (central bearded dragon). RNAcentral's name for it is "lncRNA (ENSPVIG00000025011.1)". Lineage: Eukaryota; Metazoa; Chordata; Lepidosauria; Squamata; Agamidae. The record is from RNAcentral.
AUGCAUUUUGGAGCAAAAAUUAAUAUAAGACCCUGUGUUAUUUUUGGGGAAACACGGUAUCAGAUGUUUUUAUCAUCAUUGCAUUUGGCACCUCUGUCUAUCAGUGUCAUCUUCUGGUGCUUAUCUGAAUUCAUGAUUAUCUGUAUGUUAUGGCAUACUUUUGUACAUCCUGUGCCAGUAAAAGUGGCUAUGGUUUAAAGACUAGUGUGUUGUGGUGGCUGUGAGGCUGAGCUGUGAAUCAAGAACCUACUAGUUUUCUGACUUCAUUUUUUUCCCUUUCAUGAAUGACUUAUGACACCUUAAGCAAAUUAAUGUAUCCUCAUUCCCCUAUCUGUAAAAAGGAGUAACAGUAUUAAUUUAUGAGGCAGUGUAGCUGUAUAGACUGCUGCAAAAAUACAUGUGAAAUACUUAUCAAUAUUUUUGGUGUUAAUAUUAGUGAAUUUUUUGGGUCUAAGAGUCACAGUGGGCAACUUCGAAGGACCUGGAGGCCAGUUUUCCAUCUACAUGACCCACCCAGGAUGCUGCACCAGCUUUCCAAAUGAAAAGAAGUAGGAAAAGCCAAAUGUGAGUUGCAAGGCUAUACACUUCCAGAGCAGAAGCUAAUUCUUUCUUUUUCCCAAGAGAAGCACAUGCUAGUGCUUCCAAAGCAGCUUUGACUGCGUGACACAUAUUGACAGUGCAUUACUUUGCCCACCCCUGAAAAAAACACCGUACAUUAGGACAGGAUUAGACACAAAGUACAUUGAUAUUUACUGGAGCAUCUCUGGAUGCAUUGGAAGGGUAGAAGUACAAAUGAUCCCUUCAUUUGACACUGUACUUAUCCCUUAUUUUCGUUUCCUUUUAACAAAUUCUCAAAUGGCUAGGCUAUUAUUUAAAGUUGAUAAAGGUAACUGACCAAAAUGCACUGCCUAUAUGUAGGACUGUAGGGGCAAGAAUAGAGGUGAAAGGAGAGGAGCAUAGAAACGUGGAUAGUCUCUGCCUGGGAAACAGUGGCCAUCAGAUCUGCCAGAAAGUGGUGAUACCAAGUCCCUUACCAUAACCAUGAAAAAGCUCUGCCCAAUGACUUCUGGUGCCUGUUAAUGGCCACAAGUUUUCCACAUUUUCCAGUGAAAAUGUAAAGACUAGAUUAUUUGUUUCAAAGACUUUUAAAUUCUUUUUAUUGUUAUUAUUACUAAAAACUACACAAGUCUCUUAAGGA